GUAGGGGGCUAGCGUUGUCCGGAUUUAUUGGGCGUAAAGAGCGUGUAGGCGGCCAGGUAGGUCCGCUGUGAAAACUCGAGGCUCAACCUCGAGAGGUCGGUGGAAACCAUCUGGCUAGAGUCCGGAAGAGGAGAGUGGAAUUCCCGGUGUAGCGGUGAAAUGCGCAGAUAUCGGGAAGAACACCUGUGGCGAAGGCGGCUCUCUGGGACGGUACUGACGCUGAGACGCGAAAGCGUGGGGAGCAAACAGGAUUAGAUACCCUGGUAGUCCACGCCGUAAACGAUGGGUGCUAGGUGUGGGGAGUGUCGACUCUCUCCGUGCCGAAGCUAACGCAUUAAGCACCCCGCCUGGGGAGUACGGCCGCAAGGCUAAA
Molecule: ribosomal RNA, 373 nt
Filed under: uncultured bacterium
Lineage: Bacteria
Description: bacterial SSU rRNA
Rfam family: Bacterial small subunit ribosomal RNA
Source: RNAcentral